RNAcentral lists this long non-coding RNA (592 nucleotides) under Apteryx owenii (little spotted kiwi). RNAcentral's name for it is "lncRNA (ENSAOWG00000003454.1)". Lineage: Eukaryota; Metazoa; Chordata; Aves; Apterygiformes; Apterygidae. The record is from RNAcentral.
CCGCGCUGCGCCCGCGCCUGCGCGCGCCGCCCUCCCCGCCGCGCUGUUUACUGUUUGGUUGCCGGGGCGCCGAGGAGCGCGGCACGUCAGGGACGUGACGUCCCACUCCCCGCGGAGACGCUACGAGCCAACGCCAUGACGCAAGUGCUUCCGGCCGUGCCCAUAUAUGGGAAAGCGGCGGUGCCGUCUUCCCUUCGUUGGCCCGGGGCUGCGGCUCGCGCGUGCGGCUGGGCUGCGGGAAGUCAAAAUAGAACAGGAAGCCUGCCAAAAAGUCAUCAGAGCCAAUGGACAGUCAAGAUCUUUUGCUGAUAAGGUUGUUCUUUGACAAUGCUUCCUGCAAACCUUCCAGACAUACUAGGUGUGCUGGUGACUUGGGGAGAUGCUGAAGUGAAACUAAAAAAACCCACUCAUUCUUCUGACUGGGAAACAGCGGAUGUCCACAAGGGACCUGGAUAUUAUAUCAAUAGGAUAUCACAGGAAAACAAAAGAAGGUCAUAACUAACACAUGGACAAAGCAUCUCGAUUGUUUCUAAUUAUGGAGCUCUUGUUCUGUUUUUUUCUCCGCAUCUUUGGUCUGCAGAAUAACAGCUUU